Long non-coding RNA from Scaptodrosophila lebanonensis, 173 nucleotides. RefSeq lists it as uncharacterized. The record is from RefSeq and is a predicted model, not a curated record. The transcript has 3 exons. NCBI's taxonomy places the organism in Eukaryota, Metazoa, Arthropoda, Insecta, Diptera, Drosophilidae.
GGUAGGUACACAGGACAAAUACCUCGUCAACAACUUAGUGCUAAUGUUGCCGCUCAAGUUAGUGAUUGUUCUCUCGACACAUUAGUUCAACGCUUUUGGGAACUCGAUCGGAGCCCAAAUGAGUCAAAGGCUGUGCGCCAGACAGCUGAACAAAAGGCCUGUGAAGCUCACUU